UACCGAGGUCUCAAGCGUUGUUCGGAAUCACUGGGCGUAAAGCGUGCGUAGGCUGUUUCGUAAGUCGUGUGUGAAAGGCGCGGGCUCAACCCGCGGACGGCACAUGAUACUGCGAGACUAGAGUAAUGGAGGGGGAACCGGAAUUCUCGGUGUAGCAGUGAAAUGCGUAGAUAUCGAGAGGAACACUUGUGGCGAAGGCGGGUUCCUGGACAUUAACUGACGCUGAGGCACGAAGGCCAGGGGAGCGAAAGGG
Molecule: ribosomal RNA, 253 nt
Filed under: uncultured bacterium
Lineage: Bacteria
Description: partial 16S ribosomal RNA
Rfam family: Bacterial small subunit ribosomal RNA
Source: RNAcentral